This 440-nucleotide ribosomal RNA is filed under the name uncultured bacterium. RNAcentral describes it as "bacterial SSU rRNA". It matches the Rfam family "Bacterial small subunit ribosomal RNA", at positions 29 to 506 of the family's 1533-position model. The record is from RNAcentral.
AUGAACGCUGGCGGCGUGGAUAAGGCAUGCAAGUCGAAUGGGUUUAGACCCAUGGCGAACGAGGUAGUAACACGUAGAAAUGUACCCUAAAGUCAGGGAUAAUCCGUCGAAAGGCGGGAUAAUACUUGAUGGUCUCUUCGGAGUAAAGAUUUAUCGCUUUAGGAACAGUCUGCGGGAUAUCAGCUAGUUGGUAGGGUAAUGGCCUACCAAGGCUAUGACGUCUAGGGGAGCUGAGAGGCUGACCCCCACCGAUGGUACUGAGACACGGACCAUACACCUACGGGUGGCUGCAGUCGAGAAUCUUCCACAAUGGGCGAAAGCCUGAUGGAGCGACGCCGCGUGAAGGAUGAAGUCCCUCGGGACGUAAACUUCUUUUAUGAGGGAAGAAGCCGGUUGACCGGUGUGACUGUACCUCAGGAAUAAGGGGUUGCUAAACUCGU